AUAAGGUUAAGUUAGGUUAGACUGGGUGUUUUCAAAACAGUUAGGGGCUGAAUAGGUCAUCUUAUG
Molecule: transfer RNA, 66 nt
Filed under: Taenia tianguangfui
Lineage: Eukaryota; Metazoa; Platyhelminthes; Cestoda; Cyclophyllidea; Taeniidae
Description: tRNA-Trp
Source: RNAcentral